UGUCUCCUCCACCUCCUCCUAUGGUGGAUUAAGCCCGAACGUUGCGUUCGGGCUUUUUUUC
Molecule: small RNA, 61 nt
Organism: Burkholderia sp. lig30
Lineage: Bacteria; Pseudomonadati; Pseudomonadota; Betaproteobacteria; Burkholderiales; Burkholderiaceae
Rfam family: Betaproteobacteria toxic small RNA
About the family: Overexpression in amino aid rich medium attenuates growth, suggesting role in repressing amino acid intake and metabolism.
Source: Rfam